This is a long non-coding RNA of Neocloeon triangulifer, 592 nucleotides long. RefSeq lists it as uncharacterized. NCBI's taxonomy places the organism in Eukaryota, Metazoa, Arthropoda, Insecta, Ephemeroptera, Baetidae. The record is from RefSeq and is a predicted model, not a curated record. The transcript is spliced from 4 exons.
UUCCUCUGGCCCUUCUUUGGUCUUUCAGCAAGCCAUGCAAGCCCACCGAGCAGCAACAUCAUUUGCAAAGCGUGCCUCUCUUUCAAUCCACCCUCAACAACCCACGCACAUCGAGUAAAGCAGCCGGCUUAAUAUUUUUGUGACGUUCCUCUGGCCCUUCUUUGGUCUUUCAGCAAGCCAUGCAAGCCCACCGAGAAGCAACAUCAUUUGCAAAGCGUGCCUCACUUUCAAUCCACCCUCAACAACCCACGCACAUCGAGUAAAGCAGCCGGCUUAAUAUUUUUGUGACGUUCCUCUGGCCCCUUCUUUCGUCUUUCAGCAAGCCAUGCAAGCCCACCGAGCAGCAACAUCAUGCGCAAAGCGUGCCUCACUUUCAAUCCACCCUCAACAACCCACUCACAUCGAGUAAAGCAGCCUGCUUAAUAUUUUUGCGAUUUUCCACAAACUCCGGAUGCCCACCAAUCAGCUCAUCAUGUCCAACGAUUUAUUAUCUCACAGACGUCAAAAGCUAUUAUUUUAUUGAAUUUUUGUGCAUUUGGCUAUAUCAGCAAUGUUUCUUUGAAAUAAUAAAAUUAGUUGAGAUUAUAUAAAA